Molecule: ribosomal RNA, 413 nt
Filed under: uncultured prokaryote
Description: bacterial SSU rRNA
Rfam family: Bacterial small subunit ribosomal RNA
Source: RNAcentral
GUGUCAGCCGCCGCGGUAAUACGUAGGGGGCGAGCGUUGCUCGGAAUUACUGGGCGUAAAGGGUGUGUAGGUGGCUGAAUAAGUCAAAGAUGAAAUCCCGAGGCUCAACUUCGGAAUUGUCUUUGAUACUGUUCAGCUUGAGGUUAGUUGAGGAGAGCGGAAUUCCCGGUGGAGCGGUGAAAUGCGUAGAUAUCGGGAGGAACACCUGAGGCGUAGGCGGUUCUCUACACUAAUCCUGACACUGAGACACGAAAGCUAGGGGAGCAAACGGGAUUAGAUACCCCGGUAGUCCUAGCCGUAAACGAUGGACGCUAGAUGUUCCUGCGUUUAUGCUGGAGUGUCGAAGCUAACGCGUUAAGCGUCCCGCCUGGGGAGUACGGUCGCAAGAUUGAAACUUAAAUGAAUUGGCGGGG